AACAAGCAAGUUCCCUCCACU
RNAcentral lists this microRNA (21 nucleotides) under Bos taurus (domestic cattle). RNAcentral's name for it is "bta-miR-12009". The record is from miRBase by way of RNAcentral. Lineage: Eukaryota; Metazoa; Chordata; Mammalia; Artiodactyla; Bovidae.